UACGUAGGGUGCAAGCGUUAAUCGGAAUUACUGGGCGUAAAGCGUGCGCAGGCGGUUUUGUAAGCCAGAUGUGAAAUCCCCGGGCUUAACCUGGGAAUGGCAUUUGGGACUGCAAGGCUCGAGUGCGGCAGAGGAGACUGGAAUUCCUGGUGUAGCAGUGAAAUGCGUAGAUAUCAGGAGGAACACCGAUGGCGAAGGCAGGUCUCUGGGCUGACACUGACGCUCAUGCACGAAAGCGUGGGGAGCAAACAGG
Molecule: ribosomal RNA, 253 nt
Filed under: uncultured bacterium
Lineage: Bacteria
Description: partial 16S ribosomal RNA
Rfam family: Bacterial small subunit ribosomal RNA
Source: RNAcentral